RNAcentral lists this ribosomal RNA (460 nucleotides) under uncultured bacterium. RNAcentral's name for it is "partial 16S ribosomal RNA". It matches the Rfam family "Bacterial small subunit ribosomal RNA", at positions 338 to 795 of the family's 1533-position model. The record is from RNAcentral.
CCUACGGGUGGCAGCAGUGAGGAAUAUUGGUCAAUGGACGCAAGUCUGAACCAGCCAUGCCGCGUGCAGGAUGACGGCUCUAUGAGUUGUAAACUGCUUUUGUACGAGGGUAAACCCCGAUACGUGUAUCGGGUUGAAAGUAUCGUACGAAUAAGGAUCGGCUAACUCCGUGCCAGCAGCCGCGGUAAUACGGAGGAUCCGAGCGUUAUCCGGAUUUAUUGGGUUUAAAGGGUGCGUAGGCGGUUUGAUAAGUUAGAGGUGAAAUGUCGGGGCUCAACCCCGAAACUGCCAUUAAUACUGGCGGACUAGAGAAUAGUUGCGGUAGGCGGAAUGUGUGGUGUAGCGGUGAAAUGCGUAGAUAUCAGGAAGAACACCGGUGGUGAAGGCAGCCUGCUAGACUGCAACUGACGUUGAGGCCCGAAAGCGUGGGGAGCAAACAGGAUUAGAUACCCCUGUAGUC